This is a long non-coding RNA of Triticum aestivum (bread wheat), 443 nucleotides long. RefSeq lists it as uncharacterized. NCBI's taxonomy places the organism in Eukaryota, Viridiplantae, Streptophyta, Magnoliopsida, Poales, Poaceae. The transcript has 4 exons. The record is from RefSeq and is a predicted model, not a curated record.
CCACGACCGCUCGAGAACGACGGCGAUGAGGAGGCCCGACCCUUGACGCAGAUCUCUCCGUCUGGCGAUGCCGCCAGUAAGGAAGCCCGGGCUCUGGCGACCGUGCGGCAGCCAACGCGGCGUCGUGUGCGCUGGAGGGGGCUCUGGCGACCGCGCGGCGUCCGGUCGUGGGUUCCGGCGACGCCAAGCCGUAGAUCUGAGCCGCCGUCUCCACUUUCCUCCUUCCUCACUUCAAGAUGCUUUGGCAGGGAUCCUCCGUAUCAAGGGAAGAGCGGGGUAGUGUGGGCGAGGGAAGUCCUUGUGUACCAGGUUUAUGAAAGAAACAGAAAAGAAACAAGAUGCAGUAAAAUUUAGAUCCUUUGAAGGUAGUGCUAUUGUUGAAUCUUGAUUCUUGAUGCUAUGGAUAUUGUCUGCUUUCAACCCCACCCUGUACUACUCACCAG